GACGAACGGCUGGCGGCGUGCCUAACACAUGCAAGUCGAACGGAGAUAUGAUUUCGGUUAUAUCUUAGUGGCGAACGGGUGAGUAACGCGUGAGCAACCUGACCUUCAGAGGGGGAUAACACCUGGAAACAAGUGCUAAUACCGCAUAAGACCACGACAUGACAUCAUGACGAGGUCAAAGGAGCAAUCCGCUGAGGGAGGGGCUCGCGUCCCAUUAGAUAGAUGGCGGGGUAACGGCCCACCAUGUCGACGAUGGGUAGCCGAGCUGAGAGGCUGAUCGGCCACACUGGAACUGAGACACGGUCCAGACUCCUACGGGAGGCAGCAGUGGGGAAUAUUGGGCAAUGGGCGCAAGCCUGACCCAGCAACGCCGCGUGAGGGAAGAAGGCUUUCGGGUUGUAAACCUCUGUCCUUGGUGACGAAAAAAAUGACGGUAGCCAAGGAGGAAGCCCCGGCUAACUACGUG
RNAcentral lists this ribosomal RNA (466 nucleotides) under uncultured bacterium. Its description in RNAcentral is "bacterial SSU rRNA". It matches the Rfam family "Bacterial small subunit ribosomal RNA", at positions 35 to 507 of the family's 1533-position model. The record is from RNAcentral.